GUCCGGGGGUCGAUUUAGCCAUGCUAGUUGCACGGGUUCAGACUCGUAGCAUAUAGCUCAGUAACACGUGGCCAAACUACCCUACAGACCGCGAUAACCUCGGGAAACUGAGGCCAAUAGCGGAUAUAACUCUCAGGCUGGAGUGCCGAGAGUUAGAAACGUUCCGGCGCUGUAGGAUGUGGCUGCGGCCGAUUAGGUAGAUGGUGGGGUAACGGCCCACCAUGCCGAUAAUCGGUACGGGUUGUGAGAGCAAGAGCCUGGAGACGGUAUCUGAGACAAGAUACCGGGCCCUACGGGGCGCAGCAGGCGCGAAACCUUUACACUGCACGACAGUGCGAUAGGGGGACUCCGAGUGUGAGGGCAUAUAGCCCUCGCUUUUCUGUACCGUAAGGUGGUACAGGAACAAGGACUGGGCAAGACCGGUGCCAGCCGCCGCGGUAAUACCGGCAGUCCAAGUGAUGGCCGAUAUUAUUGGGCCUAAAGCGUCCGUAGCCUGCUGUGUAAGUCCAUUGGGAAAUCGACCAGCUCAACUGGUCGGCGUCCGGUGGAAACUACACAGCUUGGGGCCGAAAGACUCAACGGGUACGUCCGGGGUAGGAGUGAAAUCCUGUAAUCCUGGACGGACCACCAAUGGGGAAACCACGUUGAGAGACCGGACCCGACGGUGAGGGACGAAAGCCAGGGUCUCGAACCGGAUUAGAUACCCGGGUAGUCCUGGCU
RNAcentral lists this ribosomal RNA (720 nucleotides) under Haloarcula argentinensis. RNAcentral's name for it is "bacterial SSU rRNA". It matches the Rfam family "Archaeal small subunit ribosomal RNA", at positions 32 to 752 of the family's 1478-position model. The record is from RNAcentral. Lineage: Archaea; Methanobacteriati; Methanobacteriota; Halobacteria; Halobacteriales; Haloarculaceae.